AUUGAACGCUGGCGGCAGGCCUAACACAUGCAAGUCGAGCGGAUGAAGGGAGCUUGCUCCUGGAUUCAGCGGCGGGCGGGUGAGUAAUGCCUAGGAAUCUGCCUGGUAGUGGGGGAUAACGUCCGGAAACGGGCGCUAAUACCGCAUACGUCCUGAGGGAGAAAGUGGGGGAUCUUCGGACCUCACGCUAUCAGAUGAGCCUAGGUCGGAUUAGCUAGUUGGUGGGGUAAAGGCCUACCAAGGCGACGAUCCGUAACUGGUCUGAGAGGAUGAUCAGUCACACUGGAACUGAGACACGGUCCAGACUCCUACGGGAGACAGCAGUGGGGAAUAUUGGACAAUGGGCGAAAGCCUGAUCCAGCCAUGCCGCGUGUGUGAAGAAGGUCUUCGGAUUGUAAAGCACUUUAAGUUGGGAGGAAGGGCAGUAAGUUAAUACCUUGCUGUUUUGACGUUACCAACAGAAUAAGCACCGGCUAACUUCGUG
RNAcentral lists this ribosomal RNA (484 nucleotides) under uncultured bacterium. RNAcentral describes it as "partial 16S ribosomal RNA". It matches the Rfam family "Bacterial small subunit ribosomal RNA", at positions 30 to 507 of the family's 1533-position model. The record is from RNAcentral.